RNAcentral lists this non-coding RNA (96 nucleotides) under Tepidanaerobacter acetatoxydans. RNAcentral's name for it is "THF-I sequence". It matches the Rfam family "THF (Tetrahydrofolate) riboswitch aptamer". From Rfam's summary of the family: THF riboswitch presents a pseudoknot that joins P1-P2 and the loop of P3 and two THF binding. RNAcentral also lists the same sequence under 1 other name. The record is from RNAcentral. Lineage: Bacteria; Bacillati; Bacillota; Clostridia; Thermosediminibacterales; Tepidanaerobacteraceae.
GGCAGAGUAGAUAACUUGCGUCAAGUGCCAAGGGAUGGGACGUUGCCCUUGGACGAAAAGCUGUAUUGCUUGCGGUAAGUUGUCGCGUUCGCUGUC